This is a non-coding RNA of Potamilus streckersoni, 68 nucleotides long. NCBI's taxonomy places the organism in Eukaryota, Metazoa, Mollusca, Bivalvia, Unionida, Unionidae. The record is from the annotation of a GenBank genome assembly.
GAUGGCCUAGUGGUUGGAGCGUCCGCCUCGGAUGCGGGAGGUCGCGGGUUCGAAACCCAAACGAGUCA